RNAcentral lists this ribosomal RNA (484 nucleotides) under uncultured bacterium. Its description in RNAcentral is "partial 16S ribosomal RNA". It matches the Rfam family "Bacterial small subunit ribosomal RNA", at positions 30 to 507 of the family's 1533-position model. The record is from RNAcentral.
AUUGAACGCUGGCGGCAGGCCUAACACAUGCAAGUCGAGCGGAUGAAGGGAGCUUGCUCCUGGAUUCAGCGGCGGACGGGUGAGUAAUGCCUAUGAAUCUGCCUGGUAGUGGGGGAUAACGUCCGGAAACGGGCGCUAAUACCGCAUACGUCCUGAGGGAGAAAGUGGGGGAUCUUCGGACCUCACGCUCUCAGAUGAGCCUAGGUCGGAUUAGCUAGUUGGUGGGGUAAAGGCCUACCAAGGCGACGAUCCGUAGCUGGUCUGAGAGGAUGAUCAGCCACACUGGAACUGAGACACGGUCCAGACUCCUACGGGAGGCAGCAGUGGGGAAUAUUGGACAAUGGGCGAAAGCCUGAUCCAGCCAUGCCGCGUGUGUGAAGAAGGUCUUCGGAUUGUAAAGCACUUUAAGUGGGGAGGAAGGGCAGUAAGUUAAUACCUUGCUGUUUUGACGUUACCAACAGAAUAAGCACCGGCUAACUUCGUG